RNAcentral lists this ribosomal RNA (253 nucleotides) under uncultured bacterium. Its description in RNAcentral is "partial 16S ribosomal RNA". It matches the Rfam family "Bacterial small subunit ribosomal RNA", at positions 524 to 776 of the family's 1533-position model. The record is from RNAcentral.
UACGGGGGGGGCAAGCGUUGUUCGGAAUUACUGGGCGUAAAGGGCUCGUAGGUGGCCAACUAAGUCAGACGUGAAAUCCCUCGGCUUAACCGGGGAACUGCGUCUGAUACUGGAUGGCUUGAGUUUGAGAGAGGGAUGCGGAAUUCCAGGUGUAGCGGUGAAAUGCGUAGAUAUCUGGAGGAACACCGGUGGCGAAGGCGGCAUCCUGGACCAACACUGACACUGAGGAGCGAAAGCCAGGGGAGCAAACGGG